This is a long non-coding RNA of Malaclemys terrapin pileata, 351 nucleotides long. RefSeq lists it as uncharacterized. The record is from RefSeq and is a predicted model, not a curated record. NCBI's taxonomy places the organism in Eukaryota, Metazoa, Chordata, Testudines, Emydidae. The transcript is spliced from 3 exons.
AGGACUCAGUUGUUCCUGUUUGAUAGUUCCUUCUACACAGGGGGCUGUAUUGCUGGAGUCAUGCAGGGACCCAUGCAUGUUUGAUGAGGAAGAGACCCCUCCAGAUGUAGAAGAGGAGACUCCUGAGGGACUUGUAACAUUGGUAGAAGAUUCUUUACAACCAGAGUCCAAUGGAAAAGAAAGAAGCCAUCUGGGAUGCUCUCUUCAUUACUCCAUAGGUUUUCGACCCUACCACUUACUAGAGACACAAAAUAACAAAGCGAUGUUACAACUGUUUAUAACUACAUCAUUUUAUAAGUGUAUUCAAUUCUCGUACAUAGGAAGAUCUAGCCACUUGUGAAGUUUGUAAUU